This 452-nucleotide ribosomal RNA is filed under the name uncultured bacterium. Its description in RNAcentral is "bacterial SSU rRNA". It matches the Rfam family "Bacterial small subunit ribosomal RNA", at positions 342 to 791 of the family's 1533-position model. The record is from RNAcentral.
CGGGGGGCAGCAGUUUCGAAUCGUUCACAAUGGGGGCAACCCUGAUGGCGCGACGCCGCGUGGGGGAUGAAGGUCUUCGGAUUGUAAACUCCUGUCAUUGGGGACUAAUGGCCAGGCUCAUACCCUGGUUUGAAUUAACCCAAAGAGGAAGCAGUGGCUAACUCUGUGCCAGCAGCCGCGGUAAUACAGAGACUGCAAGCGUUACUCGGAUUCACUGGGCGUAAAGGGAGCGCAGGCGGACUCGUGUGUCGGACGUGAAAUACCGGGGCUCAACCCCGGGGCUGCGUCCGAAACUACGAGUCUAGAGACUUGGAGGGGUAAGCGGAAUUCUUGGUGGAGCAGUGAAAUGCGUAGAUAUCAAGAGGAACACCAACGGCGAAGGCAGCUUACUGGACAAGAUCUGACGCUCAGGCUCGAAAGCGUGGGGAGCAAAAGGGAUUAGAUACCCCGGU